UACAGAGGGGGCAAGCGUUGUUCGGAAUUACUGGGCGUAAAGGGCGCGUAGGCGGCCUGUUAAGUCGGACGUGAAAUCCCUCGGCUCAACCGGGGAACUGCGUCCGAUACUGGCGGGCUUGAAUUCGGGAGAGGGAUGUGGAAUUCCAGGUGUAGCGGUGAAAUGCGUAGAUAUCAGGAGGAACACCGGUGGCGAAGGCGGUGCUCUGGGCCAGUACUGACGCUGAGGAGCGAAAGCGUGGGGAGCAAACAGG
Molecule: ribosomal RNA, 253 nt
Filed under: uncultured bacterium
Lineage: Bacteria
Description: partial 16S ribosomal RNA
Rfam family: Bacterial small subunit ribosomal RNA
Source: RNAcentral